GGUCGAGCGGGAGAAGAGCUUGCUCUUCGAUUCAGCGGCGGACGGGUGAGUAAUGCCUAGGAAUCUGCCUGGUAGUGGGGGACAACGUUUCGAAAGGAACGCUAAUACCGCAUACGUCCUACGGGAGAAAGCAGGGGACCUUCGGGCCUUGCGCUAUCAGAUGAGCCUAGGUCGGAUUAGCUAGUUGGUGAGGUAAUGGCUCACCAAGGCGACGAUCCGUAACUGGUCUGAGAGGAUGAUCAGUCACACUGGAACUGAGACACGGUCCAGACUCCUACGGGAGGCAGCAGUGGGGAAUAUUGGACAAUGGGCGAAAGCCUGAUCCAGCCAUGCCGCGUGUGUGAAGAAGGUCUUCGGAUUGUAAAGCACUUUAAGUUGGGAGGAAGGGCAGUAAGAUAAUACCUUGCUGUUUUGACGUUACCGACAGAAUAAGCACCGGCUAACUCUGUGCCAGCAGCCGCGGUAAUACAGAGGGUGCAAGCGUUAAUCGGAAUUACUGGGCGUAAAGCGCGCGUAGGUGGUUUGUUAAGUUGGAUGUGAAAGCCCCGGGCUCAACCUGGGAACUGCAUCCAAAACUGGCAAGCUAGAGUACGGUAGAGGGUGGUGGAAUUUCCUGUGUAGCGGUGAAAUGCGUAGAUAUAGGAAGGAACACCAGUGGCGAAGGCGACCACCUGGACUGAUACUGACACUGAGGUGCGAAAGCGUGGGGAGCAAACAGGAUUAGAUACCCUGGUAGUCCACGCCGUAAACGAUGUCAACUAGCCGUUGGAAUCCUUGAGAUUUAGUGGCGCAGCUAACGCAUUAAGUUGACGCCUGGGGAGUACGCGCAAGGUUAAAACUCAAAUGAAUUGACGGGGGCCCGCACAAGCGGUGGAGCAUGUGGUUUAAUUCGAACAACCGAAAACUUGGUUGACAUGCAGAAACUAGAUAUUGGUGCUUCGGAACUCUGACCGGCUGCAUGUGCGCAGCUCGAGGGAGUCCCCCGUUACUUGGGGGACUAGUAUA
This 1005-nucleotide ribosomal RNA is filed under the name Pseudomonas sp. YSA5_2G3. Its description in RNAcentral is "bacterial SSU rRNA". It matches the Rfam family "Bacterial small subunit ribosomal RNA", at positions 60 to 1078 of the family's 1533-position model. Lineage: Bacteria; Pseudomonadati; Pseudomonadota; Gammaproteobacteria; Pseudomonadales; Pseudomonadaceae. The record is from RNAcentral.